GACGAACGCUGGCGGCGUGCUUAACACAUGCAAGUCGAACGGUGAACGAGGGAGCUUGCUCCCUCCGGAUCAGUGGCGAACGGGUGAGUAACACGUGAGCAAUCUGCCCCGAACUCUGGGAUAAGCGUUGGAAACGACGUCUAAUACCGGAUACGACGCGGGAGGGCAUCCUCUCCGCGUGGAAAGAACUUCGGUUCGGGAUGAGCUCGCGGCCUAUCAGCUUGUUGGUGAGGUAACGGCUCACCAAGGCGACGACGGGUAGCCGGCCUGAGAGGGUGACCGGCCACACUGGGACUGAGACACGGCCCAGACUCCUACGGGAGGCAGCAGUGGGGAAUAUGGCACAAUGGGCGCAAGCCUGAUGCAGCAACGCCGCGUGAGGGACGACGGCCUUCGGGUUGUAAACCUCUUUUAGCAGGGAAGAAGCGGAAGUGACGGUACCUGCAGAAAAAGCACCGGCUAACUACGUG
RNAcentral lists this ribosomal RNA (470 nucleotides) under uncultured bacterium. RNAcentral's name for it is "partial 16S ribosomal RNA". It matches the Rfam family "Bacterial small subunit ribosomal RNA", at positions 28 to 507 of the family's 1533-position model. The record is from RNAcentral.